This 28-nucleotide non-coding RNA is filed under the name Rattus norvegicus (Norway rat). The record is from RNAcentral. Lineage: Eukaryota; Metazoa; Chordata; Mammalia; Rodentia; Muridae.
UCAAGAUGGACAUCUGUGGGGAGGCGCC